UACGAAGGGGGCUAGCGUUGCUCGGAAUCACUGGGCGUAAAGGGCGCGUAGGCGGACAUUUAAGUCGGGGGUGAAAGCCCAGGGCUCAACCCUGGAAUGGCCUUCGAUACUGGAUGUCUUGAGACCGGAAGAGGUUGGUGGAACUGCGAGUGUAGAGGUGAAAUUCGUAGAUAUUCGCAAGAACACCGGUGGCGAAGGCGGCCAACUGGUCCGGUUCUGACGCUGAGGCGCGAAAGCGUGGGGAGCAAACAGG
This 253-nucleotide ribosomal RNA is filed under the name uncultured bacterium. Its description in RNAcentral is "partial 16S ribosomal RNA". It matches the Rfam family "Bacterial small subunit ribosomal RNA", at positions 524 to 776 of the family's 1533-position model. The record is from RNAcentral.